This is a non-coding RNA of Vicia faba (fava bean), 297 nucleotides long. The record is from the annotation of a GenBank genome assembly. NCBI's taxonomy places the organism in Eukaryota, Viridiplantae, Streptophyta, Magnoliopsida, Fabales, Fabaceae.
AUGAGAAUUUCUUUCAUUCCUUCUAUUCUCUCUACAUUAACAAAGUCUAUCAUGGCUAAUAGGCAAUCAUCUGCGCGUUCGAAAGAACGCAAGAUGGGAUACAUUUUAGAGCUACAACACAAGAUUCAGACACUGCAGACUGAAGCCACUACACUCUCUGCGCAACUUACUCUAUUGCAGUCCAGAUGCUUCAUGAACUUGCAUGAUGACUGUUUCUUCUCUUUCAUUCGUCUAGAGAUUAGACAGCAGGGACAACAAAAAGGAGCGAGGGGAAAAGUAAUAAUAAGAAACAACUGA